This 220-nucleotide long non-coding RNA is filed under the name Paramuricea clavata. Lineage: Eukaryota; Metazoa; Cnidaria; Anthozoa; Malacalcyonacea; Plexauridae. The record is from RNAcentral.
UCAAAAGUCACACCUACCCAUAUAUUGUUUCGCCACCAAAAUAUUCCCCUUUGUUCGUACGAAUUGAAAUCUGAUUCAUGAUUUUAAAGCAUGAAAACAAGCAUGUGGAUUGCCUGUAUGACGACAGUUCAAUGUGCUUUUUCUAGAGCAAAAUUGCAGGAAUUUAAACAACGUUUUCACCCCGCUAGAACGAUAUCGAUAUUGGGAUUUGGAACACAAU